UUUAUCACAGCAACAGGAAGUAACUGACACAAACGCCCAUAAAGAUGAAAAAGGUCUUGUGUGGAGCAGCGCUGUCUGCUCAUCCCUUCAUCAGAGUCAGCUGGAUUUUGCAAGAGAGGAAAGGAUCUACAUCUUCAAACCCUCCAGCCUGAGCUAGGCUUCCAGGAUCCCACCCUCCUUCGCUCACACUUGCACGUGCAGGACCAGAGCCUGUGGGCCCUGGUGUACAUCUCCUGCCGAUGCAGAAUCUGCAAAUAGACGCCUCCUUCCACAACAUACCUCUCCACAAAGCCAACCCACUGAAACGGAGCUCAUUAUCUCCAGACAUCGCUGCGGCCAAAGGGCAGGCUAUGACGCAGAGCAUCAUGGGAUGGCAGCCUUCAGUGGACAAUGACUUCGUGGUGGUCAGCAAGCCAAGAAGAGAUGAGCAAAAGACCCAGGUUGCCAGAAGAAUGCAAGUCAGCCUCAAAGACUGAGAAGGGAGAGUCACUACAUGGGCACCGGCACAGACACUCCUGGCACCUUGAGGUGAGUGCUGUUUCAUUGUGGAGCCUCGAAUGACUGUGGAGAAGAGUGUACCUAUCCGCACGAGUUGACCUCCAACCUGUCUCAAAAUGAUGGGUCGAAGAUGAGUUUGUGCUCUGUCUCAAGUGACAGCCGUCCCACCAACGUAUUGUUACCUGUCUUCAGAUAUUUGGACUCUACGAAGUACAGAGGCAGCGCAGAUUUUUAUCCUUGUGCAGAUUCGUAAAAAUGAACACAAGGUUACAUAACCCAAGAUGCACAGAGAAAUGUGCAGUGUGAUGGAGUUUCCAGGACACAGGCUGCAGACCAGUGGAUGGCCGACAUCAGCUGGCUUGGAGGGAGGUGCGCUGGAAUCUCCUGCAGUUUCUGACGGAAGUCGGCUGUUUCCACGGUUUAGAACCGCUCACAAUGUGAGCUACUUUUUUUACUCUUUUCAAGACAGAAGCUUGGGUCAAAGUCUUAUUCAUCUGUGGCAGAGGGUAAUAAAAACGGGAAGUUUGGG
RNAcentral lists this long non-coding RNA (1027 nucleotides) under Mus spretus (western wild mouse). Its description in RNAcentral is "lncRNA (ENSMSPG00010025422.1)". Lineage: Eukaryota; Metazoa; Chordata; Mammalia; Rodentia; Muridae. The record is from RNAcentral.